AGCAUGUUGGCUGCUUGGAGAUAUGAGGGCUUCUCCUGCUUGGGGAAGGGCAUGCAGCAGUUUGGCUGGCUCGAAGCUUAGAGAAGAGGACAGCAUACAGAAAAAUAUAUCUUCUGCAAAGAAAAGCACAGUCAUGUAGAGAACCUUUCCAUCCCCAAUCUGGACCCAGCUUUCCUGAGAGAGUUUGCCCUGUCCUCUGGUUGGAAGCUAUCGUGGAGGCAAAUCACCUUAAUCAAGUAAACGAGAAGACCAAAUGCUGGGUUUCAGUCUUCAUAAGGUUUGUACUCAUAAAUCCUGGCUGCCUUCACAGAAUCAAACUAUAAUUUUUUGUCCACCUCGAUUUGUGAAUUAUCAAGAGCUCUCUUAGAUUAUCUGCCUUUUAGCAGUGACUGAGGAUUCUUAAUAUUCCAGCCCAUAUUUAGAAUUGGCAAAUGCCAUGAAAGGCUAUUUAUUAAACUAAUCCAUGUUCUGAACUGUUAUUGCUACUGGAAGGGGCCCAAUCCAGACCCCAAAAGAGGAUUCUUGGAUCUUGCACAAGAAAGAAAGGG
This is a long non-coding RNA of Rhinopithecus roxellana (golden snub-nosed monkey), 548 nucleotides long. RefSeq lists it as uncharacterized. The transcript is spliced from 5 exons. NCBI's taxonomy places the organism in Eukaryota, Metazoa, Chordata, Mammalia, Primates, Cercopithecidae. The record is from RefSeq and is a predicted model, not a curated record.